CAGUAGAGAAGACUGGACUUGAGCACCCUUACAGCCUACAUUUAAGGCAAACCAAAUGUUUAAUGCAAGAGCAUGAGAAGACAUUCUAAUCAGUGAAAAGCCAGUAUUUACCCCCAGUUUCCAACCUGGAAUUUUAAAAAAAGGUCACUCUGCAUUUUCUGUGUCAUCACUGUGGGUAAUCUGCAUGGCUUUCCAGCACCAGGAUUACCCUAACACAUCAUUGCUACUGCUUGGCACCAAAAUGGGGAGGCUACAAGACCCAUCUGUGGAACAUCCAGAGAUCUCAGCUUCCAAGAAAACAACUUGCUCUUUCCUGUGUUAUCACACAGCUGAAAGAUCUUACUGGGAAACCUGUGCACAGAUCACCGUCAGCAGAUGCCAUGCAGGAGCCAGUGCAGCUGAAGAGAGGGAAAGAAAAAAAGUUUGCCUCAGCAAUCAAAAUCCUAUAAGGGGCUGCAGGGCACACACAGAGGUGUCAUUGUGCAGUCCCCUCUCAGCAAGGAGCUUGUUCAGCUCCAGAACUGGAGAGACUGCAGAGGAAGGUCACCAAGCCUGACAGACAUGAGACACGCUGAUGAGAGAUCCAGUCUCUGUGUAAACAGAUGCCAGUGAAAUUAAGACAGGGUCAGGGAAGACAAGAAGAAAAACAAGAACUGGUUAAUAUGGGAGACAGAUGCACCACCCCAAAACUUGCUGCAACUCAAGAGCAUUGUUCAGCAGCUGGCAGAGAGGCUACCAUAAGGCAAAUGGAAGGUGUACUACAUAGCUCUUCUUAUUCCAAAUAAAGCUUGUAAGAUAAGA
This is a long non-coding RNA of Falco peregrinus (peregrine falcon), 801 nucleotides long. RefSeq lists it as uncharacterized. NCBI's taxonomy places the organism in Eukaryota, Metazoa, Chordata, Aves, Falconiformes, Falconidae. The record is from RefSeq and is a predicted model, not a curated record. The transcript has 3 exons.